CCGUGCUAAGCGGGGAGGUAGCGGUGCCCUGAACCUGCAAACCGCUAGAGCAGGGCUGAAUUCCUUUCUGAGGCUUAUGUUUUUCAGGGUCUGACCCUGGUAAGUGGCUAUGAGGAUCGGGUCCUGUGCGACGUGAACUCACAAACCCCGUCAGGUCCGGAAGGAAGCAGCGGUAAGUGAGCAUUCACGGGUGCCCCAGGGCUACCUGAUCCGAGCUAACUGCCCGGGUAACGCCUGGAAAAGUAAGUCGAGGAAAGGUGCACGG
This 265-nucleotide signal recognition particle RNA is filed under the name Candidatus Syntrophonatronum acetioxidans. RNAcentral's name for it is "signal recognition particle sRNA large type". It matches the Rfam family "Bacterial large signal recognition particle RNA". From Rfam's summary of the family: The signal recognition particle (SRP) is a universally conserved ribonucleoprotein involved in the co-translational targeting of proteins to membranes. Archaeal SRP consists of a 7S RNA and homologues of the eukaryotic SRP19 and SRP54 proteins. In most bacteria, the SRP consists of a 4.5S RNA and the Ffh protein (a homologue of the eukaryotic SRP54 protein). Lineage: Bacteria; Bacillati; Bacillota; Clostridia; Eubacteriales; Syntrophomonadaceae. The record is from RNAcentral.